GCCUGCAACUGCAGCUCUGAUUCGACCCCUGGCCUGGGACCUUCCUCAUGCCCCUCAAAAGAAAGAAAAAGAGUCAGACAUGAGGGCAGACGUAGGGGUGAAUGUUGGGUGCUCUGUGACUGGUGGUGUGAUCCCGGACAAGCAUCGUGACAUUUCUGAAUCUGUUUCUCACACGUAAAACAGGCCCGAGGAACUUUCCUCAACAAGAGGGCCCUAAAACUGAAAUUGGAUGAUGUGUGGGAAGAGCUGGGGGUUAGCACUCGGAAGUAGACCCUUUGGGGGUCAGAUGACCUUGGGGUGCAGCAGGGACCGAUGCAGAGAGCAGGGCAGUUCUGAGAGCUGGUGGAGGCAGCAGACGGGACCGGAGAAGGGUGGUAUAUCUCAAGGACGGCUGGCGCGCGCGUGUGUGUCUGUGUCUCUGUGUGUGUCUGUGUGUGUGGGUGUGUGUCGCCAUGUCUGGGUGUGUGUCCGGGUGUGUGUCUCCAUGUGUGUGUGCGUGCAUGCCUGCAGGCUGAGCCUGGGCCAGAGGAUCUCCGUGCACACUGAGGUCUCAGCUUAAAACCCUAAGGGGGGCUGGUGACAGGUCCUCUCCCCUCUUGGCAUAACUCUUUCCAAGGAAGAGGAGCCGUGCUGAGCUCCAGGGCACUCUCGUACCCAGGCAAGCCCCGUGUGUGCCCUGGUUAUGGACUUGGUCACGUGGGGAGGGCAGUGAAAGACUAAACCUUUCCUAAAUAAACAGGCUUGGGAGGGUGGCAGCCAAGACUUUGAAGAACCAAAAUGCCAGGGCCUAAGAGCUAGACAGUAUUCUGGGGACGCACCUACUCUCGGGCCCGCGGGGAAGUGGCAACAGGCAAUUCCUCCCUCCCGUGACCCUCCCUGCACACCUGCUCAGGGCAGGUGCACCCCUUCUCCCUCCCCCACCCAAGGUUUCAGGAGGAGGAGGAGGGCUCCUGAGGCUGCUGGCAGCCUCACCACCAAACUGUUCUCAUCUCUUAUUGUUCCUGAGAUGGAACAUUUAAAUAAGAGAACUGAUGAUAAGUGGAAGCCAGCAGAAAUCAUUUACUCCGAGAAAGAAGACAAUUGCUUGAUUUAGACACCAAGUCCCUUGCCUGACUGUUCUCAGUACCAUGGUCUAAAUUUGACCUUGGGAGAUGGAUUGAAAGAGCCGCCUUGUUGGGGAGAGGACAGCAGGCGCCAGGACUCCGGGGCAACAUCUGUGGGCGGAGAACAAUGGCCUGCCUCGCCUCUGAGCCCUGCUCUGGGAGCAGACGCGACAGACUCCUGUCCAAGGCUAGUUCCUGCACCUCGUAUUGGAAGCAGGUCUGCAGCGCAGGGCCUGGGAGCAGGCUGGCAUUGACGCGUCAGCUUAGGCAUUGUUUUGAUCUCAGCUUUCCGUGUUUUCAUCUCCUCCAACCGGUGGGAGGCAGCAGAGAGGAGCUGGUCUGCCGAGGCUUUUUCCAGAACCUUGGGGAAAGCAACUAAACUACAGGAUUACAGAAAGAACAAGAGAUUGCUUUCUUGCAGUGGUGGCAAAGCCAGCAUACUUGGUAGCACUAGAAAAUCAUGGACUGAUCCUAGGAUCCAGAGGCCCUAAAUUAGCCUCCUGAAGGGCUCCUGUUUGGGGCCCAGGCCUAUAACAUGGGCUGUGGAGUCGGGGGAGGCAUUUCUUCCCUUCUUUUCUGGACGCAGGCAUAGCAGGUUCCAGGGACAGGAGGAGAGAGCAGCACUAAAGGCAGACCCUGUUCGCUUUCCAACCCAAGGAAGCUUUGGAAGAAGCAACCCUAGGAAGCUUUUUGAAACAAGGCCGCGUCAAGCAUUUUGGAUAUUUCUCUGUAAGGUUUGAGUCCUUGUUGAGUGACUUCAGAUAAAUCUGAGCCUCUGAAGGUUUCUGCAGUUCUAGGAUGGGAGGGAUAACCUUGCAAUUAUUAGCCGUGAAGAUGGUCAGAUAUUCCAGAAGACGCAGCUGUAGGAUGACGGGCCGUCUGUUAACCUGGGUCUGCCAGUGACUGCAUGGAGCAGAGUCGUACUGCCUCUUAUUCCAAAAGCAGCAUGGACAAGAAGGAAACUUUCAUGAUGCAAAGCCACUGAGAUCCAGGACUUUUUACCACAGCACAGCCUGGCCCAGGAGUUCUCAGUCUGGUCGGCUGACUUGGGGACAUCAGAAAGGCAAGUUCUCAGGCUCCGCCCCACACAUACUGAGUCAGAGACUGAGGGUGGGGCCAGCAAUCUGGGUUUUAACAGGUGUCCCAGGUGUCUCUGACACAGGUCAAGUUUGAGAACCAGGGCUCUAACCCAUCUUGAAUAAAGCAGGUGGCAAAGGCUGGGGAGAGAUCCUGCUCUCUCAGCUCCCAGUGACACAGGGAUUUUUGCCCCUGUGGGCGGCCACUGUUUGGGGUGAUCUGUUCUGUCUUACCUUCCUCAUUGGCAAAGACAUUUAAGCAUCAGCUGGCUCAGGAUAAUUAACAUCAAACAGAUGGAGGCCCAGGGUUUUUACGUGAAGUCAACAAAUCACUUGGGAAUGGGUUCAUUUUUGCUUUAGGAAGGCAAACGUGGGUGUGUCUGAAACCAUGGGGUCUACUGCUCUCUUUCUUACUUCCCGCGUUACAGGCCCACGUCCCCCCCAGGAAGAGCAGAGUUUGAUGAUGUCCGUUCCACCAGGGAGGAAGUGAGGCUCCGAGGUGUCAUUUACCGACUGCACAGAAUCACAGCUUGCUGUCCUAGAGAAGUGAGAGCCUGUGGUCAGCAGAGGGCAGUCUUGUUCUAACAACUACUUGGUAGGGAGCUGGAAGCCAGCUGGUGAUAUUGAUGGAAUUGAUGGAGGCCAGAGGGUCUGGACCACUUAAAGAACAGAAACAGGGGAAAAAAAAAAAAAAAAGAUACCUACAUACCUGCCAUGUUGCCAUAUUAAUCAGGCAAUUAGCAUUCCCUAUAUAAUGCUUUCAAAUUUCUGUCUGAAAUUUUUCAUAUUAAAAUGUUAGAAGAAAGAGGAAAAUGCCCUAAGCUGUGCCACCUCAGCCACAGGGCUGGCGACAGCUCACCCAUCUGGACCAGCCCUGUAGCGACUGGAUGUAUGGGCUGGUAUCAGUCUUCAUUAAGCAUCUUAUCCUUAGUAUUCUCGCUGCUCAGAGAUCUGCCCCCAGAGCACGCUUGCCCUCUUUCCUCCCCUCUCUCCCUCCUCUGUCCCUCCCUCCCUCUGUGCACUCUCUCCUUUACCUCUGAGUCCAGGCGUGAGUCUAGCUGAAAUGACUGGUGGGAUGUCAGGACCGGGUACUGGGAGCCGGCAAGUACAUGUGAAAGACAUAACAGGUCCCUUCCCUUAGGCAUUUACAGUCUUGGAAAGACAGACUCACAGAAGCGGAACUUCGAGGAGAAAGACAGGAGAACAUUUAAAUCAUGUUCUCUGAGCCACAGGAGAAACCCGAGUUGAGCCUCUGACAAGCCUUGGCAUGAAGCUCUGAACUUCUUAAGGAUUUCUUCGUCACGAGCUUUCUAGAACGCACCUCCUUCAUAUCUCCAAACACUCUCCAAGGCCUGUCUGUUUUUUUUCUUUUUAGGGCCGCACUGGUGGCACAUGGAGGUUUCCAGGCUGGAAGUCAAAUCAGAGCUGCAGCGGCCGGCCUACACCACAGCCGCAGCCAUGGGGGACCCUUAACCCACUGAGCGAAGCCAGGGAUGGAACCUGCAUCCUCAUGGAUACUAGUUGGGUUCUUAACCUGCUGAACCACAACAGGAACUCCCCGGCAAAGUCUUUCAAGGUAGAGUUCGUCCUGGUAUCCAAGAGAAAAAGGGAGAGGUUCCUUAAUUUGUCUGUGUGAGGGCAGCUUAGCUCAGCUGAGAGUUUGCAGCUAACCCUCCCCGAGUAUGGCUGUAAUCCGUUCUUACCCCCACCUGAAUUGUUCCAAGGCUCUGUAACCCAUGGGUGACCUAGAAUUGGGUCAGGCCUCCUAGGACCACACCAGUCAGAGACAAAGCUUAGCCAGGUUCAAACUCAGCCUGGAUCCCUGUCUCCAGGCACUUGUCGAGCUUUGAAGGAAGCUAUUUUCUGCUGAUGUGCAGCCAGAAGGAGCCAAGAUGCCCCCCAGGCACUGGGUGCUGGGAGGUGAGAGGCACUGUUAGCAGCCGUGGCUCCACCAGCAUUAGGAGAUUAAUGAGGCUUUUUGAAUAACGAAUGUAGCUGCAGCCAACUGUUGGCAAUUAGUUAGAGCAAAGCUAUGCUGUGCUUCGGAUCUAUCAGCUGGGACCCCCAAAGGAGCAGAACAGCAGGAAGGGCUAGACAGAAAGGAAGAGUGCAAAUUCCACCUUGGCCCUCCUAGGCCAGCACUCUAGGUAUAAUGACCUUGAACUAAGCCUUCCAGAAUCAGAGCAACCUGAGAGAGGCCAUGCUGGUUUGAGACACACAUAAAGCGGUGAGGGUCCUUACCGGGCCGUCUUGCCUGGCUGUGCUCAGUGGGUUAAGGAUGUGGCAUUGCCGCAAGCUGUGGCAUAGGUUGCAGACACGGCUCAGA
This is a non-coding RNA of Sus scrofa (pig), 4505 nucleotides long. NCBI's taxonomy places the organism in Eukaryota, Metazoa, Chordata, Mammalia, Artiodactyla, Suidae. The record is from RefSeq and is a predicted model, not a curated record.